RNAcentral lists this ribosomal RNA (388 nucleotides) under uncultured bacterium. RNAcentral's name for it is "bacterial SSU rRNA". It matches the Rfam family "Bacterial small subunit ribosomal RNA", at positions 29 to 412 of the family's 1533-position model. The record is from RNAcentral.
AGUGAACGCUGGCGGCAGGCCUAACACAUGCAAGUCGAACGGCAGCACAGUGGAGCUUGCUCCAUGGGUGGCGAGUGGCGGACGGGUGAGGAAUACAUCGGAAUCUGCCCAGUCGUGGGGGAUAACAUAGGGAAACUUAUGCUAAUACCGCAUACGACCUACGGGUGAAAGCGGGGGAUCGCAAGACCUCGCGCGAUUGGAUGAGCCGAUGUCCGAUUAGCUAGUUGGCGGGGUAAUGGCCCACCAAGGCGACGAUCGGUAGCUGGUCUGAGAGGAUGAUCAGCCACACUGGAACUGAGACACGGUCCAGACUCCUACGGGAGGCAGCAGUGGGGAAUAUUGGACAAUGGGCGCAAGCCUGAUCCAGCCAUGCCGCGUGGGUGAAGAA